This 465-nucleotide ribosomal RNA is filed under the name uncultured bacterium. RNAcentral's name for it is "partial 16S ribosomal RNA". It matches the Rfam family "Bacterial small subunit ribosomal RNA", at positions 338 to 795 of the family's 1533-position model. The record is from RNAcentral.
CCUACGGGAGGCAGCAGUAGGGAAUCUUCCACAAUGGGCGAAAGCCUGAUGGAGCAACGCCGCGUGGGUGAAGAAGGUCUUCGGAUCGUAAAACCCUGUUGUUAGAGAAGAAAGUGCGUGAGAGUAACUGUUCACGUUUCGACGGUAUCUAACCAGAAAGCCACGGCUAACUACGGGCCAGCAGCCGCGGUAAUACGUAGGUGGCAAGCGUUAUCCGGAUUUAUUGGGCGUAAAGGGAACGCAGGCGGGCUUUUAAGUCUGAUGUGAAAGCCUUCGGCUUAACCGGAGUAGUGCAUUGGAAACUGGGAGACUUGAGUGCAGAAGAGGAGAGUGGAACUCCAUGUGUAGCGGUGAAAUGCGUAGAUAUAUGGAAGAACACCAGUGGCGAAAGCGGCUUUCUGGUCUGUAACUGACGCUGAGGUUCGAAAGCGUGGGUAGCAAACAGGAUUAGAUACCCCUGUAGUC